This 6096-nucleotide long non-coding RNA is filed under the name Cervus hanglu yarkandensis (Yarkand deer). RNAcentral describes it as "lncRNA (ENSCHYG00000002927.1)". Lineage: Eukaryota; Metazoa; Chordata; Mammalia; Artiodactyla; Cervidae. The record is from RNAcentral.
CCUAAUGAGGGGCCCUAGGCUUGGGGUGUGUGCAGCUCUGCUCAGUGACGUAUCUGAGUUCCCCAGUAUUUUUUGGCGGAUGAAAUUACACAUGAGAAGAUAAGCAAUUUGUCUUAUAUUCAGACCGUUCCCUAAUACAUCAAUCGAGUUGAACAAAUUUGUGUUUUCACAACAGGCGUUGCAACAGGGCUUGCUGGGGAGCUGUCUGGGUCAUCCUGGGUUGAGUCUGUGUAAAGUGAAAAGUUGACACACGUCAUCCUACACUGUUGAAUAAAUUUAAAAAUGACCACUUUUCUCAGCCAGAGACUGUUGAAAAAAUGAAAAGCAAAACAAAAGAAGGCAAAACAAAACAAAGGCUUGGAGUGUCUGCUAAGCCAGUGACCCAUCCAGAGGCAGAUGGGGGCCAGUUAGUGCCCCCAGACCUCCCCUCCGGGGGCAGGCUUUCCCUAACCACCCUUCCUGGAUCUUCUGGCCCUCGGGCAAGGAAGGAAGUGUGGUUUCACAUUUCCAUGGUUCCACGGAUCACACUACAGACCCCUCCUGUGCGAGUGUUGUGCAGAUGCUGGGAGGUGAAGCUGGCGAGGCUCGACGUGGCUGGCAGGGCGCCGGUGCUGGGUGCAGAUGUGGCUGGCAGGGUGGGAGAAAGUGGAUUAGGAAGGCAGAGCUGUGUCCAGCGGGCAUCUUGGUGGACACCGCAUUCAGGAGGGAUGCAUGGAACAGGGCUCAGCUGUUGCCCUGUCCACUGCUGACGGGCACAUGUGCUGCCCUUGGACACAGCCGAGGUCAGGAUUCACUUCUGUGACCUCCUGGGGAUGGGUCCCUUCCUUAUGGGUGGCUGGGGGUCCCCAGCUGCCCACACACGGCACAUCUGGGCCAGGCAGGACAUGGUGCCCACCCAGCUCCUGUCCAUCUUCAGGGGAGCUGAGGACAGUGGUGCUUGACCUCAGCCCUGCAGGGCCCAGUCAGCUGGGAGAACACGUCCAGCCUCUCCAUCUGCUUUGCAUCGUGGCCCGGAGUUCCGAUGCUUCGCAAUCACUCUCGGCCACAUGUUUUGGAAAUUACCCUCCACAGCACGGCCUUGCCGAUGACUUCAGCUGGCUCGCGCUCCCUCACAGUAAUGUCACAGGACACGGCCUGCCUGCCAUUCCAGCUCAGACCUGGGAGGCUCUCGGGGACCCGAGGUCCCUCCAUGCUCCCCUCUCCCUGACCGCAGGCCUCCCCGGCCACAGCAGCUGCCGCCUCUCAAUCAUUUCUUCACCAGUGCUCGGCCGACCUGCACUCCACACAGAGUCUGCUGUGUGCUGAGCUCCGUGAUGUCUCUGUGCCGGGAGAUGGGAUCACAUCCAGGCCACCUAAGCUGUGCCUGCCCAGUGUCACAAACUCGUCAGGACUCACACAACCCAGGAUGGCAGUGAGUCAGCCCGGAUUCCGCACGCUCACCCACCCAAGCCGCACUGCCACUUAUCAAAGCAUUUUUGGAAUAGUUUAAAGCAUCCAUACCUCCUUCCUUUGGAUGUUCUUGCUGGUGACAAACCUUUAUCUUGCAAGAGUGGAUUCAAAUUUCAGGACAAAUGAAAGUGGCUGGAACAGAGACUCACUGGUGUCCUGGUCCUCUGUAAGUGAGGUUGGAAGGCUGCCUGGCGGCUCAGCAAGGGAGGAUUAAGUGAAUUAAGACACGUCGUCAGCAGGUCUGCAGGGCCCCUGCAAAGCAGACACCCGGUGGACAGAGGUGCUCUGGGGUGGAUGGGGGUUUAUGAGGCAACGGGCACGGUGGGCUCCCUGGGGAGAAAGCCCAUGGUCGUUUCAGCCCAGGGCUCCUGGGGAUCUGGGAGGUGGUGGUGUUGAAGGAGGGCACCUCCCUCUGUGUUCCUUCUCUCAGCAAACCUUGAUGGAGGGAGGUUGCUCUUCUGUGCUGGGUGGGCUUGGGGUACAGAGUGAAGAAGAAACAUGAGAUCUGCUUGAGUGCAUCAGCGUUUAUUUAAUAAAUCCCUAAUUGAUGGGUUUAGAUAGUUUGGGUUUUUUCCUACUACAAACCACGUGGCAGUGAGCAUCUUUAUUUAUCCAUCCUUGUGUAAACAUCUUAUUAAUGCCUUAGGAUCUACUUAACAUUCAGACAGGAAUCCAAGUAAUUACUACAAAGCUUGCUGCCCCAGCUUCCAUUCUGCUGACCCAGGGGUCCCCCACGCCUCUGCUCUGGGGGUCAGGCCUGAUGACUGCUAGGCUGAUAUGGCUUCAAGGAGGUGCAGGUGGUCAGGACUCCCUGCCCCCAUGGGAGGUAGAAGUCAGCUGACUGGGGCAGGGGCCAUGGGCAUUCCUCACGGCAGGGCUCCUGGGCAGCGUCCCCAUUUCUCCCCCUCUUUCACCUCCCAAAGCCUCCUUAUCCCGUCCAUAUCUGCUAAGGAAUUUCCCCGGCACCUCUGCUUGCCAGCCACUCUGGGGUUCCAGCCCAUUCCGAUGGCAUCUGGCUAGAAGAAUUUGAGUCGGGUCUGGUUGUGACAGUGACGCCCCCAGAGAGUUCACCCCAGGUGGUGUGGAGCUGGGAAGCCACCCCGAAGCCACCCCAGGGCCUGCUGUUGACAGGAGCUCCCUGCACAGCGUGGCACCACCUUGCCAGGGCACAGGGUCAGGCUCCCUUGGUGCAGGUCUGCAUGUCCCUGGUAAUCAGGAUGCCCACAACCCACGCACCUACAGCCACAUGUGUUGUAGGGUUGCUGGGGUAAAUGAUGGAGCCCUCCCAUGAAGCUCAAAGGAGUUGAGGAUUGAAAACUUUGCCCUUGGCCUGGGGACAUGAGGAAAAAUGUGACCAGAGCUGCCAACACCCUUUUACACAAGUUCAGUGCUGGAGAGAAACAGUUCACACAGAUUAGAAGGUGGAACUGUUAAACACUGUUGAGAGUCAGAGAACAUAGGCCUAUAAUUGUCUUCACAUAUUUGAACUCAAAUUCAGAAGUUGAUUUUUGUUGAAUUAUGUCUAUAAAAUUUUUCUCAACUUUUAUUAGUUUGGUGUGGAGAGAGAUAUAUAAAACUUCAGUCAGUCAGUCAGUUCAGUCGCUCAGUCGUGUCCGACUCUUUGCGACCCCAUGCCAGAUGCCAGCACACCAGGCCUUCCUGUCCAUCACCAACUCCCGGAGUCUACCCAAACCUAUGCCCAUCGAGUCAGUGAUGCCAUCCAGCCAUCUCAUCCUCUGUUGUCCCCUUCUCCUCCUGCCCCCAAUCCCUCCCAGGAUCAGGGUCUUUUCCAAUGAGUCAACUCUUCGCAUGAGGUGGCCAAAGUACUGGAGUUUCAGCUUCAGCAUCAGUCCUUCCAAUGAACACCCAGGACUGAUCUCCUUUAGGAUGGACUGGUUGGAUCUCCUUGCAGUCCAAGGGACUCUCAAGAGUCUUCUCCAACACCACAGUUCAAAAGCAUCAAUUUUUUGGCACUCAGCUUUCUUCACAGUCCAACUCUCACAUCCAUACAUGACCACUGGAAAAACCAUAGCCUUGACCAGACGGACCUUUGUGGCAAUAUAAAACUUAACCAUUGUUUAAUACUUUAUAACAGACAAGUGGAGUUCCCAGUGAGGAAGAAGCUCCCUUUCUGCCCAGGGAUUUGAAUAGAGCAGGAAGUUUGCCCCCCAAAAUGAGCUCAAACCUUACCACCCGUGGGCCUGGUAACUGUGUUUAUAGUAUUUCCAUGGCACAGAGUCAAGCAGAUGAGACUUUGGGUAAAAUGGAGGCCAGGGAGCUAGUGAAUGCAGGGUCUCCAGACACCCCCAGAAAAAGACAACUUAAGCCCAAGAUGAGCACAUAGUGGAAAAACCACAUUAGGAAAUGAACUCUCCUGAGGAAUAACCAACCAACCUAGGGUUAGCACUCUGUCAACUAGAAAUAACAGAAAUGAGAUAAAUGAAAUAAAUAUGAAAAAAAUGAAAUAAAUAUGUUUACUUAAAAUUACGAAAUAUAAAGGGAGGAGUUAGAAUGAAAGACCAGAACAGGAGAAAUGGAUUUGGAAUUGAACCUGAGGAUCUUAUUUAAAUGAAAAAAUGUAGCCUUUAAAAUAAAUGAACUCACUGGGUAAGUUACACAGAAAAAACUCUAGCAAAGUCAGUGAGAAGGAAGGAUCUAAGGAUACAAAUGAGAGAAACAGACGUGGAGGAGAGGACAGAACCAUUUAGAAAACAGAGCUGGAGUGGGGAAGUCCAGUGACAGCUCCUGGGAUUUACAAGUGGUGAAUGGGGUAUGAGAGAGGCAUUAGAAGAUACUGGGGGAAAAGUCAGGGAAAAAACCUUGCCCUCCCAGUUAUUAAAAUAACCCCAGCCCUCCUACACUGUUGGUGGGAAUGUAAAUUGGUGGAGCCAUUAUGGAGAACAGUAUGAAGUUUCCUUAAAAAACUAAGAGCUACCAUAUGACCCAGCAAUCCCACUCCUGGGCACAUAUCCAGAGCAAAAUCAUGGCCUGAAGGGAUACAUGCACCCAGUGUUCAUUGCAGCACUGUUUAGAGUAGCUAAAGCAUGGAAGCGACCUAGAUGUCCAUCUACAGAGGAAUGGAUAAAGAUGUGUACAUGUAUACACAGUGGAAUAUUACUCAGCCAUUAAAAAAGAAGGAAAUAAUGCCAUUUGCAGCAACAUGGAUGAACCUAGAGAUUGUCACAUUGAGUGAAGUAAACCAGACAGAGAAGGAGAAAUAGCAUAUGACACCCCUUAUAUGUGGAAUCUAAAAAGAAAUGAUAUAAAUGAACUUAUCUACAAAACAGAAACAGAAACAGACUGAGAGACUUAGAGAACGAGCUUGUGGUUGCCAGAGGGGAAGGGAUAGUUAGAGAGUUUAGGAUGAACAUGUGCACACUGCUAUAUUUAAAAUGGAUAACCAACAAGGACUUGCUGUAUAGCACAGGGAACUCUGCUCAAUGUUAUGUGGCAUCCUGGAUGGGAGGGGAGUUUGGGAGAGAAUGGAUACAUGUGUUUGUAUGGCUGAGUCCCAUUGCUGUCCACCUGAGACUGUCACAACGCUGUUAAGCAGCUCUACUCCAGUAUAAAGUUAAAGAUGAAAAAAAAUACACUCCAAAGCAAGGGUACUUCAAAAGCACGGUGCAGAGACAGGUAAAUGGAUGUAGAAAAUAGAGUCUAACAUGUGGCCCUUUAAAUGAGAAGUUAGGAAUUUGGAAACACUUCAAGCAGAGGAAAAGAUCAUUCAAAAAUGUUGAUAGUACAAUUAAUUCACCUUUUGGAAAAAAAUAACGUUGGAACCUUACCUCAUGUGCAAAAUAAAGCCUGUGUGGUUUAAAUGGCAAAAAUAUCAAAAAAUAUAAAAUCUAUAGAAGAAAAAUAUAUUCAUAAUUCUACUGUAGGAAAGGCUUACUACCCCAAAUUCCAAGUCCAUAAAGGACAAGAUGAACACAUCCAGUGGUGUAAAAACUUAAGCUGUUGUGUAGCAAAGACAUGAAGGCAGAAGUUGCAAGACAUGCGUCAGGCUAGGAGGCAGUGCUGCAUGUGGAGAAGGUAGCCCUGCCCCCCAGAGAUGCCUGCGUUUGAAUGCCUGGGAUACCUCUUGCCAAAGGGACUUGGACAUGUGAUGAAGUUAAGGCUCCUUAGAUGAGCUUUUCCUGGAAAGGGUGGACCAGUGUCAUCAUAAGUUCCUUACAGGAGGGAAGCAGGAAGGUCGGAGUCAGAGAAGGAGAUGUGACCAUGGAAGUGAAGGUCAGGCUGAGCCCCGAACCAAGGGAUCUGGCGCCUCUAGAAGCGGGACAUGGUAGGAGAUGGAUUCUCCUGUGGAGCCUCCAGAGGGAACCAGCCCUGCAACACCGUGAGUUCAGCCAAUGAGACCUGUUUCAGAUGUCUGCCCUUCAGAACCAUGAGAAAAGGAGCUCCUGUUAUCUUAAUAUGUUUGGUGAAUUUGUUAUAGCAGCACCAGGAUGAUUAUACAGACGUAGAUAUUCAGGUCAAGUCUGUUGCACAGAUACCUCAUGUAUAUAUUCAGAUCAAAACUUUUAUAGAUUAUGCAGAAAUAAAGGGCCAAGGAUCUGAAUAGUUUCCAGAAGAAGAAAUACAAAUGGGCCUGAAGGCUGCUUCUCAGAAAAUGAUGAGGAAUCUGUCAUCAGGAGUCAGAGACCCAGG